RNAcentral lists this ribosomal RNA (611 nucleotides) under uncultured bacterium. RNAcentral describes it as "bacterial SSU rRNA". It matches the Rfam family "Bacterial small subunit ribosomal RNA", at positions 338 to 953 of the family's 1533-position model. The record is from RNAcentral.
CCUACGGGAGGCAGCAGUAAGGAAUAUUGGUCAAUGGAGGCAACUCUGAACCAGCCAUGCCGCGUGCAGGAAGAAGGCCCUAUGGGUCGUAAACUGCUUUUGUACCAGAGAAAACCCGAGUACGUGUACUCGGUUGAUAGUAUGGUAAGAAUAAGCAUCGGCUAACUUCGUGCCAGCAGCCGCGGUAAGACGAAGGAUGCAAGCGUUAUCCGGAUUCAUUGGGUUUAAAGGGUGCGUAGGCGGACUGAUAAGUCAGUGGUGAAAUCUCUCGGCUUAACCGAGAAACUGCCAUUGAUACUGUUAGUCUAGAGUAUAGAUGACGUCGGCGGAAUAUGACAUGUAGCGGUGAAAUACUUAGAUAUGUCAUAGAACACCGAUUGCGAAGGCAGCUAACGAAACUAUAACUGACGCUGAGGCACGAAAGUGCGGGGAUCAAACAGGAUUAGAUACCCUGGUAGUCCGCACCGUAAACGAUGAUUACUCGUUGUUGGCAAUAUGACCGUCAGCGACCAAGCGAAAGCGANAAGUAAUCCACCUGGGAGUACGCGGCAACGGUGAAACUCAAAUGAAAUUGAGGCGAGAGAGAGCGACGGACGACGACGAGGGAGAGG